This 283-nucleotide long non-coding RNA is filed under the name Zostera marina. Its description in RNAcentral is "long non-coding RNA (ZMAR_LNC004491)". The record is from RNAcentral. Lineage: Eukaryota; Viridiplantae; Streptophyta; Magnoliopsida; Alismatales; Zosteraceae.
UUUCUUGCAUCUUGUGCAGUAGGGUUUGGAAUCUUCACUCUGAAUGUGUGUCUUUACCUGAGGAUUUUUAGAUUGUGCUACCAUGGCAUUGCCUUCCUCAGGGUAUACACAUUCCCUUUGAGUUUCUUCUUGUAGAACCAUGCUAAAAGCAUCUUCUACUGAAGGUGGGGUUUUCUUCUUCAAAAUCUGUCCUCUGAUGGUCAUGAAGGAGUCAUUCAGACCAGUUGUGAAGGUGAUUAAUCUCUCCAGAUUUUCCUUUGCUAUGCAGUUAGCAUUGCCACAG